Long non-coding RNA from Cyanistes caeruleus (blue tit), 1728 nucleotides. The record is from Ensembl. NCBI's taxonomy places the organism in Eukaryota, Metazoa, Chordata, Aves, Passeriformes, Paridae.
UGCAGGCUGGGGAUGAGACUAGCCCCUUAAGUUGCUGCUAACACUUCUACUGCAUGGGCUUAAAAUGAAAAUGAAGCAGUUGCUUGGAAACCCUCCUCCUCUUUGCGCCACUUAUUUUACUUUUUCAAGAUGUCUUUUUCCAGACUAUUAAUUAUCACAAAGGACUACCAUCCACCUGAGCUGCCUGGGCCUUCUUUUUUCACCUGAAAAUUUAGUUUGGAAUUUGAAGACUUUGGAGAUUUUGGAAGGUUUUAAGCAUCUGGAAAUCCUGGAGAUGCAGUACCUUGCACAGGCUGUGUGCCCAGGCAGCUCUACAGGGCCUGGAGACCCACCUCACUGAGCCUCCUCUGCCCAGAGCAUCUGGACCUGCUCCUCCCCAGGAUGUCCUGGUUAGAGGGGCUGCAGAACAGCCCUUCCAGCCUGGACUCACACAGAUGCUACAGCUCAAAUUUCCAUAUCACAGAAAGCUGGCAGGAAUACACAUCAGCAGUGCUGAAAUAUGGCUGGAAGCUGUGUGCAUCCAUCGGGAUCAGUGUGCUAGCAUUCCCUCGCUCAGCAGGGGUGUGAUGAGUUCUUCAUUAAUAUUAGCUCUGGAAGGAGCAGAUGGUGCCAAGAUCUUACACCUCAGAGCCAGAAUUACAGUUUGGAGCCAGCUGCAUCGUUUUCAUUAGCUGGAGUUUCACAGGCCCCUUCCAGCCUUCACUUACCUUUGUAAGUGGGAUGAGAGUGCCAGCUCAAUGAACUGAUGUGUUAAACAUGAAUAAUGUGUUGAAUGAUUAUCCUAAGCAACACUACUGACUGAUGAGGUAGUGCCACGUUCCCAGCCUCUCUCUAGCUGAUGGCAUAUGUUGCUUUCACCAAUAAAAUCUGUAGACUCUAGAAAACUGGCUCUCAAGUUGCCUGGAGAAAGCCAUAAGCAGCAGCAGGAAUGUUCAAGGGUUGGAUGGCAAGAAAACCUCUGGCAGUUCUACAUAACUCUACUUAGAUGGGCGAAAUGAAACCCCAUGGUGGUCCAAAAGAGUGUGUGGGGCUGUUCCUGGACACCAAACACUCCAUAUUAUGCCUGCAUGCAGGUGAAGUGAUGUUGGUCACGGGACGGAACGACAGAUUCCCUUCUCCCUCUGGAGAGUACUUACACAAGACAGAGAAGUGGGCUUGUGAACAACCAAGUGGAAUAAAAUUGUCACUGUGUUGCUGGCAGACUUUGAAGUUAAAGUGCCAUGACAAAUUUUUUCCCUGUUUUUCUUCAAAUAAGAUUUUUUUAAAAAAGUGUGUUAAGGCAUAAGUCUAGUUGAAAAUGAUUAUUUUUGUCAGAAACAUGCUGGAAAAAUAGAAAAUUAGAGACUGAUGAGUCACAUGAUUCUUAGGUACAGACCCAGAGUAUGAAGUUGGGAAUGGACUUUUGCCAUUGCAGCUAAGAUGUCCUUCGAAUUUUUUUAAGUGUUUCAUUUGGCACACUGAAGUAAAACUAAUAGAGGAAAACAAUUUUUUCCAAGUCCACUGUAUACAUAGUUUGGAGAUAGUAAUCUACAAAUAUUUCCAGUAAGAACUUCAGUUGUGUUGCUUUAGGCCUCAUAAAAAGUGAGGAUUUUAUCGCAUUUUCCAGCUAUCUGUUCUCCAGUGGACCUUAAAUGCAAAGACUGGAAAAAAAACCACCUCUCUCAAAAAGUUAUUUGUUGCCAUUGAGGCACUGAGUGUUAAUAAAUUUAAACAAACAUUCUUUGUACA